UACGGGGGGGGUAAGCGUUGUUCGGAAUUACUGGGCGUAAAGGGCUCGUAGGCGGCCAACUAAGUCGGACGUGAAAUCCCUCAGCUUAACUGGGGAACUGCGUCUGAUACUGGAUGGCUUGGAUUUGGGAGAGGGAUGCGGAAUUCCAGGUGUAGCGGUGAAAUGCGUAGAUAUCUGGAGGAACACCGGUGGCGAAGGCGGCAUCCUGGACCAACAUUGACGCUGAGGAGCGAAAGCCAGGGGAGCAAGCGGG
Molecule: ribosomal RNA, 253 nt
Filed under: uncultured bacterium
Lineage: Bacteria
Description: partial 16S ribosomal RNA
Rfam family: Bacterial small subunit ribosomal RNA
Source: RNAcentral